UUUCCGUAGGUGAACCUGCGGAAGGAUCAUUAUUGUAUAACCGAGGUGCGAGGGCUGUCGCUGACCCGAAAGGUCGUGCACGCCCGAGUGCCCUCACACACAUCCAUCUCACCCCUAUGUGCACCACCGCGUGGGUCCACCUUUGGCUUGUUCGGAGGGGGGCUUACGUUUUCACACAAACUUUGUAUGCAGUGUAGAAUGUAUUUUUUGUUUUUGCGAUCACGCAAUCAAUACAACUUUCAACAACGGAUCUCUUGGCUCUC
Molecule: unclassified non-coding RNA, 263 nt
Filed under: plant metagenome
Description: partial contains small subunit ribosomal RNA, internal transcribed spacer 1, and 5.8S ribosomal RNA
Source: RNAcentral